Molecule: ribosomal RNA, 482 nt
Filed under: uncultured bacterium
Lineage: Bacteria
Description: partial 16S ribosomal RNA
Rfam family: Bacterial small subunit ribosomal RNA
Source: RNAcentral
AUUGAACGCUGGCGGCAUGCUUUACACAUGCAAGUCGAACGGUAACAGGCCGCAAGGUGCUGACGAGUGGCGAACGGGUGAGUAAUGCAUCGGAACGUGCCCAGCCGUGGGGGAUAACUACUCGAAAGAGUAGCUAAUACCGCAUACGAUCUAUGGAUGACAGCGGGGGACCGUAAGGCCUCGCGCGAUUGGAGCGGCCGAUGUCAGAUUAGGUAGUUGGUGGGGUAAAGGCUCACCAAGCCAACGAUCUGUAGCUGGUCUGAGAGGACGACCAGCCACACUGGGACUGAGACACGGCCCAGACUCCUACGGGAGGCAGCAGUGGGGAAUUUUGGACAAUGGGCGCAAGCCUGAUCCAGCAAUGCCGCGUGCAGGAAGAAGGCCUUCGGGUUGUAAACUGCUUUUGUACGGAACGAAACGGCUCUGGUUAAUACCCGGGGCUAAUGACGGUACCGUAAGAAUAAGCACCGGCUAACUACGUG